UGGGGAAUUUUGGACAAUGGGCGCAAGCCUGAUCCAGCCAUGCCGCGUGAGUGAAGAAGGCCUUCGGGUUGUAAAGCUCUUUCGGCCGGGAAGAAAUCGUGUUCUCUAACAUAGGACAUGGAUGACGGUACCGGACUAAGAAGCACCGGCUAACUACGUGCCAGCAGCCGCGGUAAUACGUAGGGUGCGAGCGUUAAUCGGAAUUACUGGGCGUAAAGCGUGCGCAGGCGGUUUUGUAAGACAGACGUGAAAUCCCCGGGCUUAACCUGGGAACUGCGUUUGUGACUGCAAGGCUGGAGUACGGCAGAGGGGGGUGGAAUUCCACGUGUAGCAGUGAAAUGCGUAGAGAUGUGGAGGAACACCGAUGGCGAAGGCAGCCCCCUGGGCCUGUACUGACGCUCAUGCACGAAAGCGUGGGGAGCAAACA
This 427-nucleotide ribosomal RNA is filed under the name uncultured bacterium. RNAcentral describes it as "bacterial SSU rRNA". It matches the Rfam family "Bacterial small subunit ribosomal RNA", at positions 355 to 774 of the family's 1533-position model. The record is from RNAcentral.